RNAcentral lists this ribosomal RNA (494 nucleotides) under uncultured Sphingobacteriales bacterium. Its description in RNAcentral is "bacterial SSU rRNA". It matches the Rfam family "Bacterial small subunit ribosomal RNA", at positions 903 to 1382 of the family's 1533-position model. The record is from RNAcentral. Lineage: Bacteria; Pseudomonadati; Bacteroidota; Sphingobacteriia; Sphingobacteriales.
CCAGCCCGCUCAGAAACUUAAAUGAAUUGACGGGGCCCGCACAAGCGGUGGAGCAUGUGGUUUAAUCGAUGAUACGCGAGGAACCUUACCUGGGCUCAAAUGUAUGUUGACGUAUUCUGAAAGGGAUACUUCUUCGGACAAUAUACAAGGUGCUGCAUGGUUGUCGUCAGCUCGUGCCGUGAGGUGUCGGGUUAAGUCCCAUAACGAGCGCAACCCCUAUCAUUAGUUGCCAUCAGGUCAAGCUGGGGACUCUAAUGAAACUGCCUACGCAAGUAGUGAGGAAGGUGGGGAUGACGUCAAAUCAGCACGGCCCUUACGUCCAGGGCUACACACGUGCUACAAUGGCCGGUACAAAGGGCAGCUACCUGGUGACAGGAUGCUAAUCUCAAAAGCCGGUCUCAGUUCGGAUCGGAGUCUGCAACCCGACUCCGUGAAGCUGGAAUCGCUAGUAAUCGCGCAUCAGCCAUGGCGCGGUGAAUACGUUCCCGGGCCUU